UCCCAGUUAGUACAACGGUGAGUAUACGGCACUUUCACUUCUUCUAACAAGAUGUCUGGGUGAGCUGCUGAGAUCGGGUUCGAUUCCCCGCUGGAAA
This is a non-coding RNA of Ustilago sp. UG-2017a, 97 nucleotides long. Lineage: Eukaryota; Fungi; Basidiomycota; Ustilaginomycetes; Ustilaginales; Ustilaginaceae. The record is from the annotation of a GenBank genome assembly.